UACGGAGGGGGCGAGCGUUAAUCGGAAUUACUGGGCGUAAAGGGUGCGUAGGUGGUUUGAUAAGUUAUCUGUGAAAGCCCUGGGCUCAACCUGGGAAGGCCAGAUAAGACUGUUAGACUCGAGUAUAGUAGAGGGUAGUGGAAUUUCCGGUGUAGCGGUGAAAUGCGUAGAGAUCGGAAGGAACACCAGUGGCGAAGGCGGCUACCUGGGCUAAUACUGACACUGAGGCACGAAAGCGUGGGGAGCAAACAGG
RNAcentral lists this ribosomal RNA (253 nucleotides) under uncultured bacterium. RNAcentral's name for it is "partial 16S ribosomal RNA". It matches the Rfam family "Bacterial small subunit ribosomal RNA", at positions 524 to 776 of the family's 1533-position model. The record is from RNAcentral.